UCAUAUGUUCACAAUCGAUUAUUUUGUGACUUUGAAAAAAUCUUAUGGACACUGUCUCUUCACAAUCGAUUGUCAUUAACUUCACAAUCGAUUAUUUUGAUCGUUGAAAAACUUUGAUGGGCACUGCCUCAUCACAAUCGAUUGUCAUAAGGUUCACAAUCGAUUGUCAUGCAGGUUUGAAAAACCUGAUGCUCACUGCCU
This 201-nucleotide long non-coding RNA is filed under the name Nicotiana benthamiana. Its description in RNAcentral is "long non-coding RNA (NBEN_LNC023430)". The record is from RNAcentral. Lineage: Eukaryota; Viridiplantae; Streptophyta; Magnoliopsida; Solanales; Solanaceae.